Molecule: ribosomal RNA, 481 nt
Filed under: uncultured bacterium
Lineage: Bacteria
Description: bacterial SSU rRNA
Rfam family: Bacterial small subunit ribosomal RNA
Source: RNAcentral
CAGGAUGAACGCUGGCGGCGCGCUUAACACAUGCAAGUCGAACGGUUAAUGCACCCUCGGGGUGCGCAUAGAGUGGCGAACGGCUGAGUAACACGUGGGCAACCUGCCCCCCGCACCGGGAUAGCCUCGGGAAACCGAGGGUAAUACCGGAUACUCCGCCCCCCUCGCAUGGGAGGGCGGGAAAGCACAUACGGCGGGGAUGGGCCCGCGGCCUGUUAGCUCGUUGGCGGGGUAACGGCCCACCAAGGCGAUUAUGGGUAGCCGGGUUGAGAGACCGACCGGCCAGAUUGGGACUGAGACACGGCCCAGACUCCUACGGGAGGCAGCAGUGGGGAAUCUUGCACAAUGGGCGAAAGCCUGAUGCCAGCGACGCCGCGUGCGGGAAGAAGGCCCUCGGGUUGUAAACCGCUUUCAGCAGGGACGAGGCGCAAGUGACGGUACCUGCAGAAGAAGCCCCGGCUAACUACGUGCCAGCAGCCGC